This 1366-nucleotide long non-coding RNA is filed under the name Brachypodium distachyon (stiff brome). Its description in RNAcentral is "long non-coding RNA (BDIS_LNC001682)". The record is from RNAcentral. Lineage: Eukaryota; Viridiplantae; Streptophyta; Magnoliopsida; Poales; Poaceae.
UUCUCAAGCAUGGAAUUGAACACAGAUAGUAUCAGAUGUGAUGAAUAUGGAUCAAAUAAAAUAUCCCUGGCUACAAAUAUUUAGCUGGACAUUCUGAACAUCUAGCUAUAUAUGAACUGCUGCAUUGUGUUAUUCAUCUCUCUACUAUUUGGACAUAUAGAUUCUUCAUCUCUCUACAUGGUACUAAGUACUUUCAAAUGUAUGUGUAUGGUGUUAAUAUGCAUGGGCAGAUGCGCUAGCUAUUUAAUUUUAUUAAGUUAUAUUCCUUCCGUUUCAAAAUAUAGACUUAUAGCUUUUGUUGACUAUCAAAACCAAGUUUAUAGAAAAACAACAACAACAUUUAAAGCUCCAAAUCAAGAUCACUAGAUCUAUCAUGAAAUAUGUUUUCAUAUGUAUUCAUCUGAAAUAACUGAUGUUAAUAUUUUUGGCGGUAAGCUUCGUCAAAGUCUAGAAAGUUUAACCGUCAACAAAGUUAUGAGCCCUAUAUUUUGGAAUAGAUGGAGUACAUGGAAAUGUGACUUAAUAAUAAGGAUUCCAUUUAGUCAGUGCUGAGUUACAACGAACGGAUAUAAAGUUAAUAUUCAUAUCGUCUAGAAACUUAGUAUCUAGCUUAUACAUGUUUCUCCGUGGGAAAUUAUAACGAAUACCUAUCUCCUAAAUUACCAGGGACGACAUAGAGAAAUAAACCGGCUGACCGGAAAACGAGAUACUCGCAAUAAAAAAAAGAAAGAAAGAAGAAAACACACAGGCGCCCGCGCGACACACCCGAUAGCAGAAAAAGAAAGACCAGGCAGUCCUUCGGUGAACGGUGAGAACACACACUGGCAUGGCAGAGCUCCGAUCCCCACGGGAUCCUUGCCUGUACAAAUAAGCAACCCCUGCUGUACUGUAGCAUAAACUGCCCAUUAUCCUCUUUGUCUGCUCACUCCAAGAGACCUAGCCCCCCUCUCCAUCAUCAGAUCUGAGUACUCUUCCCAGCCGCCGGCCGGCGCCGACACCCCAUGGAUCAGAGGCGCCAGAGCUCCCGGAUCAGAGGCAUCACCCCUUCCCCGCUCCCUCCUCUCCCACGGAGCAUCCGUCGCCGCAGAUCUCCUCCCCUACCCCCACCACGCCCCGCCGGCGCUGUCCCUCUGCUCGUCCCCAAUCUCCCGAUCCCGAGCGUCGACGGCGAGCAGUCACCAACCCUCCCUUUGGAUGUGAUUCUCGAGAUCGCCGCUCGCUCCGACGCUGUCUCCAUCGUCCGCUGCGCCGCCACCUCCAAACCCCUCCGUCUCGCCAGCCUCGCCCAGGCCUUUCGAAGCAAGCUAGCCGAGGCCGCCCCGCUUUGACCCCGAUCUCCUCCGCGGGGUCUCCUACAAAGUGGACG